RNAcentral lists this non-coding RNA (30 nucleotides) under Homo sapiens (human). Lineage: Eukaryota; Metazoa; Chordata; Mammalia; Primates; Hominidae. The record is from RNAcentral.
CAAAAAGGAGUUUAACCUCAAUAUGUAACU